This 292-nucleotide ribosomal RNA is filed under the name uncultured bacterium. Its description in RNAcentral is "partial 16S ribosomal RNA". It matches the Rfam family "Bacterial small subunit ribosomal RNA", at positions 333 to 621 of the family's 1533-position model. The record is from RNAcentral.
UGUGGCCUACGGGACGCAGUAGUGAGGAAUAUUGGUCAAUGGGCGAGAGCCUGAACCAGCCAAGUCGCGUGAAGGAUGACGGCCCUACGGGUUGUAAACUUCUUUUGUCAGGGAGCAAUUGGGUCCACGUGUGGGCUUAGCGAGAGUACCUGAAGAAAAAGCAUCGGCUAACUCCGUGCCAGCAGCCGCGGUAAUACGGAGGAUGCGAGCGUUAUCCGGAUUUAUUGGGUUUAAAGGGUGCGUAGGCGGCAUAUCAAGUCAGCGGUAAAAAUUCGGGGCUCAACCCCGUCGU